Molecule: non-coding RNA, 129 nt
Organism: Parasteatoda tepidariorum (common house spider)
Lineage: Eukaryota; Metazoa; Arthropoda; Arachnida; Araneae; Theridiidae
Product: small Cajal body-specific RNA 8
Source: RefSeq, a predicted model, not a curated record
UGGAUGUUCAUUAUGCAUGUUCUGCAGAGAUAAUCAGAAAAUGCUUUAUUCACAUCCAUAAAUUACAUGCUUUCUGAUGACUGUAAUGUGUGUAGUGCUCACUUACAGACAGAUACGAAGCAUACAAUA